AGGCGGCCUAAGUCUCUUUUUUGGUGACUAUGACACUCCAAAGAGAGAUCUUCCAGUAGCAGCAGGCACACAGAGACAGAGCUGUAUCCCUGAGCACUGAAGGCUGCAGGAACCAAGGUUGGCUUUUCUCUGCCUUAUUAUUGUCCAAGUCCAGCUGGAUCAACUUGUCAGCCAGAUUAAAGCCCCAAAGCUCUGUUGGGUACCACUUCAUGGGUUUUUUUUCCCUGUAAAUGAGAAACAGGUGGAGGACAUUGGAGCUAACAGGAGGACACAGCUUUCCCUCUUAAUCUCAUCUACCCCUUGGACCAAAGGUGAGGACCACUCCUCACAGGUGUUCCUGAAUGAUGGUUCAUCAGACAAACAUCUUAAGGGCCAGAUGACCUCCAAGUAUGCUCAGACCUUGGUCUACUUACCUCAGUCUGGUCUCACGUUGUUCUUUUUGAGAUCAAAGUAAGGAACUCAAUCUUAUAAAAGCAACAGCUCAAGAACCACCACAUCAGCUGGUCACUGCUGGAUGGAAACAGAGCAGCUUUCCAGAUAAACUUGACCUGUGUUACACUGUCCAUCCUUUGGGCAUACUGGAGAAAUUACUCCAGCCCUAUUCAAAACCCUGGGCAGCAUGUGGACUUCUAAUUAGAGCCAUGCUUGGAGAAGUCACUUGGGAGCAGGUUUCUUUUAUCAUUGUGAGCUGAGAACUGGAGGGAAUCUAUGGGAGAGAAGAUGAUCCAUCCCAAGCAAGUGAAAUGGCUGCCACCAUCUCCUGCCAUGUGUGAAAGAAGGGGAUGAGGAGUGAUGGUGGUGUAUGUUUGGGAAUGAAGGGCCUGCUUGUUUCUGCUGAUGCCCUAGGAUUUCACAAGGAGUGGAACCCUUGGGGCUCUCCAGGUUGAAGGCACAGCAGGUUUGUGCAUCCCAUGUGUCUCUGUGGAGCUUUGUUCUCAGCUGCAGGUCAUAAUCAGGCACACACAUCGUCCCUCUGCUGCCCAGAGAUCACGUCAGACACCACCAGCUCCAACAAAGGGAAGGAGAGCCACUGGUCUGCAGUGAACUUCCCCACAGCAGCAGAGCUCACACCUCUUUGUGAGGUGCCCAGCAGAAUGGCACAGGAACUAAAGCACUGGAGGUAACUUGAGUGGAACUCAAAAUACUGACCCCUUUUGCAAAGCCUGUAAGAUCUACUGAUGAAAAGCACUCUCCAACAGGUGGGUAUUGUUGCCUUCGUUGUAUUCCUUAUUUAUUUAAAAAUCAAGAAAAGGUUAUAACAAUCGAGGACUUUUCCGUAAGAGUCUGCGUAACCAUUUCUAAAAGGACACUUGUAUAUUUGACUAUUCAUCCUCCCUUCUGGCUGUGCUAGUUGCUGUUGUUCUGAGGGUGAUCCGUGCAACUUACAGUUCAUGUGAGUUUUGUGCACUAUUAGAAUCACGUUUUCAGUGUUUCCAUGUUCUUGGCUUGUCCUGACCUCAAAGGGAUGAUCUCAAUGCUGCCUCCUCAGAAAACUGCAUUUCUGUUCCCUCCUCCGCUCUCGUUUUUUGUGGCUGAUGUUAUCUUAUGUUAUCUUAAUUACAUGCUUUAAGGAUGCCUGCUGCACAGAUCAUUGAUGGAGUUUGAUGUUUGUUAAUAUCACAUUGCGUUAUGAAAAUCUGGUACAUUAAGACCUUGGUGUCUUUCCAAAUUAUUCUGAAGAUAUAAAAAACUUAAUAAGCAACCCACUUUAACUAAUACAGACUAAUAGGUUGAGAAGGAGGAGGUGAGUUUUGGGAACAUGUUUAUUAGAGAGGUUGCAAGUAAAAUGAUUUAAAGAGCCCUUGAUCAGGAAUUGUGAUUCAAGGUCAGGAUUUAGUGUCAGAAUCAGGGUUAGUACUUGUGGGGAUAGUAGAUAUCAAUUUGUGGUCAAAGCAAGUCAACCUUCUCGCUUGUAUUUAAUUUUUCCCCAACCAGCAAUUUGUCUUUAAAUGCAAACACUUAACUAAAUCAGGUGCAGAUGGUUGUUUUUACCAAAUGAAUGCUGUUUUAUCACUUUAAAAGCUUUUGUUUUUAGUCAAGGGAAGGAAGUGGGCAGCACUCCCUUGUUUUUGAAAGAAGAAGAGCAUAUGCUUUUUAAUUUGAAAUGUAGUGCUAAUAGCAUUAUCCACAGGGGGAUAGGCUGUGCUGUUGUGGAUUGUGGAUAAUGCAUUUAUGCUCAAAUAUCCUUUAUUCCCUCCUGAGUGAAAGAAUUUAACAGCAUAUUGUAUUACCAUGCCAUGGAGAGUGUAGUUUACUUUAAGAGUGAAUUUUUUGACGGUAUUAACUCUGGGUUUGUUUUUGUUUUGUUAAUUUUUAAGGAAAUUCUUGAUGAAUUUUCAGUGUUCUUACAACACUCUGUUGAAAAAAAAACCCUUCAACCUACCAAGAACAAUGAAAAAAUACCAUUGAGGGGAGAUCUGGAGAUACCGCAGACAAGAGCCAGAGACAGUUUCAAAAAUAGCUUUACUGAGACAUCCUUUUUUUCCCCCAUUUCUCAGUCUCUGCUCUCUUCUCACCAGAUGCUGGUGCUCAUGCUACGAUGGCACCAAGCUGGGGAUGCAGCAAAAUGGAGAGAAGCAGCCUUGAGACAGGCAAACUCAGUCCAUUUGUGACUUUCUGUAGCAAACUCAUUUUCCCCAGGGCUGUAAGACAAAUGGUUUAAUAACCCAGAAUGCUGUGCUCUUUGCUUCAGCACAGUUGACUCUCUGCAUUCAGCCUUAUUCACAGGUAUCUCCAACAACCUCCUGGGAAAAUGCUGAACAAACGGAGAUCACGGCUUGGAGGCCCGGGGCUGGCCUUGCAUUGUUUGCUUUUUAUUGUAAGGCUUAUCUCGCUGUGUCAUAUGGUUAAAAACUGGAGCCUUGCCUCCAAGAUAGCAGUGAAAAAGCAAGAAAAGCUUGUGCGCAUUUGUCUUCGGGUCAGUUUUAUAAAUGAGUGUACUGAUGCAGCCCUCAACAGAAAUGCAAGGGAGAAACUAUGAGCAAGAGGGAGCAAGAACAAGUCCUAACUUUUUUCCUGUCAUGUGUUUUUUUUUUUUUCUGGAAAUGAAAGAUUUGAACGCUGCUCGCAUGCCUUCUCACCAGAGAACUGGCUGUGCUCCAAUAAUUGUGUGAAAUCUUGGAUUGUGUAUUUUCACUCCAAGACAUUGAACAUGGCCAUAGCUGGAGGUACAUUUGGAAUAUGGAAGCAUGUCUUGUACUCAGUUCCCAUCUGCCCCAGGAUCUUGAGAUGUCCUAAUAGCGUCAGGGACAGUAAGCCAAGCCCGUUAGAGAUAUUGAAAUAGAAUUAUGUGACUAAGGAUGAGAAACUCAAUGGAAAGAAGGCAGCACAGUCCAUGGGGUGCAAUGGCCAAGUGAGGUGGCAAAGGAGAGGGAAGAGGUUUUUGAAAUUAAAGUGGUCUUUGAUUGCUCACCCACUGCUUGGUAGCAGGAAACACAAAAAGAAUUCCUGCUGUCCCCCAGGAGAAUUCAGCUCUGGCUCACUAAAGGGCAGCAAUUACUUCAGACCUGUUUAGGACAAGACAGCAGGUCCUUCUUGUGGGAUUACAGAGCAACGGUGCUUUGGUGUCCAUCAAAGUGCUUUAUUAUGAAGCAUGGUAAUAUCUGUGUCUUCCUCAACAAAAUGAGGAUUAAUUUUACCCCUCUUUAGCCAUGUAAAAGUUUAGGUGUCUAAGGCAGUGAUUUACCCCUCCUCUACAGGCUGUGAAGAGAAAGGGAGGCAUCUCCAGAGAAUGAGUCACCUCUUCAUACGUAGAACGUCUAAAGUGGGUGGGAUGACUCAUCCUCUAAAGGUAACUGUCUCUCUUUCGAUGGCUUAAAUGACUAGUUUCAACUGAAAGCCUAACUUUUUGGUGGCAGAAAUUAGCCAUCUUCACUGUUACCCACAUUUGUCUCAAGUUAUUUUCAAAAUCCAGAGUGAGGGAGAAAGCUUACUUCUCAGUAGAUGGCCCCUUCAAAGGACCAUUUUGUGCUUUCUCCUGGGAUCUGCACAUCUUUGUCUCUCAAAAAUGCUGCUGAAAUGGUUUGCUCAAGUUUCAUGGGGUCAGAGAAACUAAAGCCUGUUGGAAACAUAAAGAGAAGUCACUUGACCCAUCCCCAUUCACAGGCAGAAAGCUGCGGUUAAGUUUUGUUAUCCUUAACAUUUCCUUCUUUCAACAAUAUCUUUCAACAGUCAGUAAGAAAAUUUCAGUUGUCUUCAAUGGGCUUUCAUCCAAGCCUGCAGAGAGAGCGAUAGAGAAAAUCCAGUUGCAGAGGCGAGUCAACAGAGGGGAAAGGUAAUGACACGAGAGAGCUAAAAGAUGUAAUUGUGAGAGGGGCUGGGGGAAGAGAUGGAAAUUAAGAGCAGUGGAGAAACAGAGGUGAUGCUCAGUGGAGAGGAGGCUUGGGUAGGGGGAGAGGGCAAACUUGUACCCUUGAAAUAUGCAUCUCUCCAACGCUGCAGCAUUGCUUCCAUUUGAAAGUGCUCUUCAGUUUAAUCAUUGCCGCACUUUUGGGUAUAAGAUGAAUAAUUAAGCCUGGGAGUAGAAUACAGCGAGUGUUAAUAGGGCAGAAGGUACUGCAAAGUCCUUACAAAAAGCUGUGCUUGCAGCACAAAGUGGCUGCUGUUCCCUGCAUCCCCAAUCACAGUGAGGAGCACAAAAGUACUAAAUUAAAUGAGGUGCAUCUGUACCUGUUCUGCUGGACCUUUUUUCCCCCUGUGUUUGGUAGUAUUGCCUUCUAAAUAAUACUCUGUCUCUAGCAAAAGAUGAACAAUGUAAUUCUAAAUCAAACCAGGACACGCUGCACAGCUUUUCCUUCCAUGCCUACACCUGUAGACUCUCACAAGCUCGGUCUUCUGCUUUACAUAAGUUAAUGUUUGAAGAAAAUAUCUGAUGCCUUAAAGAGACAAUUCAGUCUGAAGUGGCAGCAUUAGGGAGUUCAUCCUCUUUGAUGAGUUCAAGAUUGCUUCUUGUUGCUGUUGAAAGAUCAAGAAUGAAGAAAUAAAUGCCCACUUCAAACUACGAGAGGCAACAAUUAAACAGUUUUUGAGCAGACCCUGGUCCAGCUCUGCUGCCCAAGACCUUGCAGUGCUGACUCGUACACACAGCAAGAGAAGGUACAGCCAGGAAAAGCUGUCACUGGAAUAAAAACAGCCCUUAAUCCAUGUACAAUGCAAGUUAUUGCAAUUUGUUGCUCUGGAUUCUUUUUUCCCCUCAAUCUGAGGUGUCUUUUCCCUGAGCACACUUCUUCCUCAGACUGUGGACAACAAAGCGGUAGCUCAAAAGAAAGCAGUUCUUAUUUAAAUCACCCAAAACUUCUUCAGGGACAGCGUGUGAAGGGUGUUGCUCAUUCCUGUGCGAGAUGAGACUGAGUGUCACUCUAAACAGCAAAUGCUCCUCUCUUAGGUCUUUGUUUUCCAAGUGCACCCAAUUAAACAGAGCUGUAUAAACUAAUCAAAUUAGGCUAGGUAGGAAGAAAGACAGAUUGUUAUUUUUAAAUACUCAGGAGAUGUUUGAGAAUGGGAGGUCAUAAAGGUAAAGAGAGAGGUCAAUAAAUAGAAAGGAGAAAAUUAUUUUUAACUGUUGCAGAUAAGGUAUUUUUAGAGCAAUCACCUGGAAGCUCCCUGAACUACACAGGAUGAUAAGCUCUGCUCAGCACAGCAGCAGUAAUGGGAGCGGAGCUGCAGCCUGGCACAAACCCACCUUCCUGCCUUCUCGCUAGUGAGUUUUCAGUGUAAUUUUUUUUUAUUGUCCCCUUUUUCUCCCACCUCCUGUCCUUACUGCUAUCACUGAGGUACCUCAGAGAGUCUGGGUCUCACAUAGAUGUUUGAGGAGGUUUUCAGUUGUUGCUACAUGGGUAUUUUCCCCCCCUCUUUGGUUUGUUUUUUUCAUCCUUUUCUUUUUAGACUGGUCUCCUCUCACCUCUGCACUAAGUGGAAGAGAUGAAGAGCUGAUCUUCCCCAGGCAAGUGUGUGGGAAAAGAAACCGGGGCUGACUUCCAAAAGGGCUGGAGGACCUUGGGGCCAGGCGGAUGCACCUCUGGCUGAAGCAUCAUCGAGGGAUGAUGAUACAGACAGAGCUGUGUCUCUUUCUCUGUGACGGGAGGGAGGCAGGGAUGUCACUGGAGUUCUUAUUUCAAUUUUCACUUUUUGCACACUGUCCCUCACAACUUCCCCAAUUAUCUAUAUUACACUUUAUCAGCAAGGAGACGCGAUCAAUGCCUUGAUUUUCUGUAGUCUGGGCAACAGUCCAGGCAAGUUUAGGUGAAGAAUAACACCUUUGGAUGAGGAUAAACAUAGAUGUUACCCACUAAUGCUGCAGACAAAAGCAUGGGAAGCACUGAUCAUACUGUUCUUAGAAAAGACCUGAUAUUCAAAAUGCUUUAGCAUAAAUCAGGCUGUGCCAUAAUCAGUAAGCUGUGAAUUUCAAAUAGAUGUUUUCCAAGGUAAGGGAAGAUGUCUCAGUGUCUUCCUCAACCUGAAUUAGUGUUUUUACCUCCUAGAUACCAAACUCUCGAAGGUGUCAGUAUGUUGAAAUGUUGCCACAGUUUGGGGAAAACAGCUGUUUUGCAGCCAUCUUCCUAUCUGCUCUCUCAAGUUGAUCAUCUUACUGCAUUUUCCUGGCCACUCCAUUGAAAAUGAUGGUGUUUCUGCCUUUGUGGUUUUCCAGAGAGAAGGCAAUGAGAAGGGAUUUUUUUUUUUUCUGUCAAGGAUCAAAGCAAAACACAGAAGAUGCCAAAAGAUAAAUAUUUGACUUUGAAACAUGAAAAAGAGGAGGAAGAGCAGCAUCAAGGGAAUAAAUCUUUUGGGAUGUCCUGCAGUGUGAACGUAUAUUUGCUAAAACAGGAGUUGUGGAUACUGUGUAAAGAUGUGGGUUUUACAAGAAAAUACAAUCAGCCAAGAGACCUCUGGGAAAUCACAGAACCUGUGUACACUUUAUGGUUUCUAUAAAAUUAAAUGAUCUUUUCUUCUUAGAGAUAUUGAUCCUAGCUCUUUUAUUAUUAUUAUUGUUAUUAUUAUUUUUUCCACUCUUAUUUCAUUCUCCAUAUCCCUGUCUUUCAGGUCCCUUGUUUGAAUUGGUCCUAUUUAUGUGAAACAGGUUGAUAACUCUCAUCUCUUCUCUUUUUUGCUCUCAAUAAUUAUAGGUCUCCUAGGAAAGCUGGCCUUCAGUAGAAAUAUUGCAAAGGUUUUGAAAGAUUUCAUUAGAAAAGAUUUGGAUCCUGCACAAUUAUCAGUUCUGAAAGGUGCUUUGCCCACCUCCUCCAGUGGAAGUGUUAUUGAUCAUCUCACAAAAGGAAGGGAUGCACUUACAGAGAGAAAAGUCAAGGUCUGGUUGCCUUUUCAACAUCAAUGAGAGAAUUGCAUCUAAUGUUCACCUCAUUCACCUUAACUCCACUGGUCUGCACUAAUUAAGGUGGAGCAAGCCGUGCCAGUUAAUAAAGAACACUGUAAUUCAGCUUGUGCUGGCCAGUGAUUGCAACAAGAGGAAAAACCCAAUAACUGAUUCAAAAGAUGGGCUUUGAUUAACAGAAAUAUCUGGGGCUUUUAUUCACUGAUUGUACAGAACACACUGUAAAAUCCUGUCACUCAAAAUACCUUCUCUUCCUUUUAAGUUGGUCUCUAGCUUGUAAAGUUGUGCUUUAAAAUAUUGCAGAUAAUUGCUAUAAUUCUGCCUUCUAGUUUGCAAACACACUCUUCUACUUGGCCCUAGGUGCCACCGUCUUGCUCCAAGGUCCUACACCCAGGGCACUCACAUCCCACAAGUUGACUCCUUUUGGAGCAAUCACCUUGUUCCAUGUUAGUCAAAGACUAGUGUAGCUUACAGAAUAUUUUGCUGGUAGGUCUAUUUUAGACAUCUAUAUGUAUACCAAGUUUGGUUCUCUCUAUCCAGGACAGUUCUUCACUACUAUCAGAACAGACUUUGCUCCUUUCACAUUCCUACCAGCCAUCCUCAAGACAUGUCCUGCAGUAAGCAACAUGUCCUCUGUGCGACACCAUUCCUAGGCUACCUCCAGCACUUUGAGGUGACAAAACAUACACACAAAAUAAUUGUCUGGGGUGUUCAAGAGCCAAAUUGGGUCCUGUGUGAUAUCUCACCACCAGGACUGAUUCCCUCUAUGGAGCAUCAGUGAAGCAGAAUGUGUGAAGUGUACCAACUUACACAGAUUGGCCUGAUGAUCAGGGUGUUGGUUGGAAGCACUUGGGGCUUCUCAGACCCCAGCCCUGUCUGGAUCAGCACAUUACAGCUGUGUAGACAGGAGAGGGAGUAAUCAGGGAUCACUCCUUCCUCCAAGGCCUCUCAGGAGCAGUAAGAAAGGUCUACAUGUACUCAGCAAGGCCAAUUUUUCACACCCCAUUAGCCCACAUGCGAUGAAUUUCACCACUCAUAACCAGCUCUGCUGACAGAGCUGACCCUUUUUCCCCCCCAGCUGAAUAGUUUUCUCUAACCAAAAUGCAAAGUCAGCAAAAUAUAUUUUUUGUUGACAUUUUUAAUGGGAAAUCGUUGAAACGCUUCAUUUUAAUUUUAGCAUGUGGCCAGUUCUGUCUCAUCUGGUGUGAAGUAAUCAAAACCAUCAGAGAAGCCCUUGCCUCCUUCAAUCAUUUACCAGAGUUUCCCUGCAAGACAACACAUCCUGAGACUCCCGAGCUGAAACAUGAUGGGAUGUUGCCUUUCAUCCUGAAUGACACUUCCAAUUUAACUUUAGAACUUUCCUCCUCAGAAUGAACAUAUUGUUCCAGAAAGCUGCAUUUCUAAGGAAGAAAGGUGUCUUGCACAAGCUUUAAAGGAUGGUUUGAGUCAAGGCUUCUAGAGAAUUACCAGUUGCCACAACAGGACUCCCUCACAUACAGCCAGGAGGAGCUGGUACAGGGAGUCCUGCGUGGUUUAGGCUUUUUAUAGUGACAGGUUUCUUUGCAUAAUGCAUUUUGGGUGAAGCUUCAGUUUUAUUUUGUACUUAUCUGAUGUCAGAAAAGUACAUAUUAAGUCUUCAGGAAAAAAAAAGGAAGGUUUAUUUAAUCAGCUUAUUACAGCCUUCCAUGUAUAAUAAAGCAGUUAUAUGGCAGUAAACCUGGAAUCCUACAGGAGUUUGUUGUGAAGUGACAGAUUCAGGUCACAGCUGUUAAUGAACAGCCAGAUUGAUGUGUGAUGCAUAAUGAUGGCAGAAAUGGCAUUAUUGUCUUGCAGGAGAGUGCAGAAAGGUAGGAUAUGCCAGUUCCAUCAGAACAACUGGGUACCCUGGAGUUUAUUACCUUGCCUCUAGCCCAUGUCUGAUAUUUCAGAGAAAUUAGAGCCAUUCUACAACUGGUGAAUAAAGUAACCACACAGCAGAUGUGGUUUUUGGAUCCUUAGCUCCUUUCACCCUGGAAAAAAACCCUAAAUUUUCCAGUUGACUCUUACUUCUGUAGGCAGAGACUUCAAAGGUAACUCUUUCAACAUCUACUUCUCCCCUCUUUCUUGUUUUAAUCAAAUACUUUUUGGAACAUGAGUUUCUCACGUCCAUGUCAUCUAGCUGGCUUUUAUUCUGUUUCUUGUUCUAAAUUUUCAUUAAGUGGAUCCUAUAAUAAAUGCACAAGUAAUGCUGACCUGAAGGAAAUGCUGCUCACCUUAGAAAGAAAAUCAGAGAGGUAAAAACUUUGCAAAUGGCAAGAUAUGCAGAGUGGCAAAAACAAUGGCUCUUGUUCUGCAUUUCCUGGAGAGAGAGGGCAGCAAAAAAAGCACCCUAAAAAAAACCUAUGAAGGACUGGUCCACCUUUACGGGACUGACCCUUGAAAGCCCACUGGGAACUUCAGCUGGUGCCACAUGCAUCUUUCUCUUAAUUAGUGCUGUUCUGAGAAGCUUCUUGAAACCCCAACUCCUUUUUCUUAUGACUUGGUAAAAUGCCAGCUACUCUGGGGUCUGGGUGCAUGACUGAGGUCCCCCAGUGCUACAUCAGAGAUAUUAAUUCUCAUUAAGAAGUGACGCAAUUGGUGUUCAUUGGACACGCAUUGUGCCCUUUGCUGGCUGCUCCAGGGUGCAGUGUAAGCGUUCGUCUGGGUCUAAAAGGCUCUGUGUGUGUGCUUCAUCGCAGCUGCCUGGGCUUACCGAACCCAAGCCAGCCACUGAGAUUUAAAAAUAAUUCAGGCCAGCAAGUUGAUUUUUGAUCUUAAGACUCCUGGGCCUUUACAGCCCUGAGAUCUGAGAUUCCCCCAGAGCUCAACACACAUUGCUGGUUAUUGAGAGCACUGAAUUUGACCCAGAAAAAUAUAUGGACAUGAUCUUAACUCAUAUGGUUUUGAACAGUCCCUUUGAUUUUCAUGCAUCUGCUCACACAUACACAGACACUCAGUAUUGCAAAUGAUUGUGCUCAGCACCUUACAGGACUGAGCCCUUCACUAAUCCUUCUAAACCCGAGUCUAUUGACUUUCAAAGCAACCCACGAGGGAUUCUUAUCUACAUUUCCCAAACAAGCUGCUUGCUUAGGCUGAGCCUUCUUGCGUUAGCGUUCAACCAGAGUUGAUUUUGAGCAACGAACACGAUUAGGUUUUCAUGUCGAGAGACAAUAAAAAUAUGGAGAUAGUUCCCAAGUAUCCUGGAGCAAAUCAGGAGUGAACUCCCUUCAUUGAAUAGCUUGUAAAAACAUAGAAAAAAAGAUCACAAUUGAUACCUAAAUCCAAGCCAGCCAAUAUCCAGGUUUUGCUUUCUCAUCCUGAAAUGAAUCUUAAUAGAACCCUGAGUGUAAAUGUCUUAGGGAAGUUUGAAAACCAGAUCUCGGUAGUUAGAUGCAUGACAUUUCUAUAAUAUAUUCCUGUCAUCACAUUGCAGAACAAGAUUCAGUCCUAAAUUAUACCACAGCCCAACUCAGAGGGAGAUGCUGCACACUGUCAAGAAAGCCUGUCCCAGAAAACAGACUGAAAUAAGGAUUGCUUCAUCUCUAGAAAAUGUCUAUUACAGGCUUCACUUUGCACCAAAAUCAGACACAGGCAGUACUCUCAGGCUUGACCUAAGCAUUUGGGAUAUCACAAGUCUCAAACAGAAUCCAUGUCCUGGUAGCACAUCAUUAUACAUCUUUCUCAAGGUCACUAUCAACACAUGUGAGAGUGGGACACUCAGACACCAGGAACUGUCAGCGGAAAUAAAAGCUUAUCUGGAAUAACCAUUCCUGCCCUAUCAUCUUCCCCUCUUCAUACAAUGGUCAUACAAUGACUGAGGCUCAAGAAUUAUUCUGGUCCCGGUUCUGAGCAGGUUUUGCCAUGGCAAGUCAGACUAUCUUAGAUUUCCCUUUCCCACCUGUAAAAAUCAGGCUAGCCCUAAACCGAUAAUUUCUAUUUAAGUGACAAGCUUGUAUUAAUUCUGUGCAAGCCCAGAACCAAACACAAUGAGACUUGGGUUGUAAUCAAGACCUCAGAACAUAAACUAAUAGAUACAUCUAUAGAUAUCUACUAAUAAAAGACAUGUAAUAUAAAUAGAUCAAAACUUAACUAAAUACAUACCUGUAUAUAGAAAUAUGAAAGGCAUAAGUUGUAUUUCUGUCUUCCUGAUGUCACCUUAGGUCUCUUGGCUUCCUCACUUGAUUUUAGCAGCACCAUACUCCAGGUGCUCUUUCCUCUGUUCCUGGCAGCAUCUCUGAGAAGUCUUGACCUUCAGCUCCCCUUGGCACACCCUGUUCGAGGAAAUCUGUGAGCACCUUGGAAAAUCAUUCAGGUUGACCUUUUUUUCCUAUUUAGACAAAUCUAUGUUCUAGAUGACUGGCAGUAUUAAAAACCAAGUGUAGUUCUGAUACUCAAAUCUAGUAUCUAUGCCGCAUGUUUCAAGCAGAAAAUCUUGACUUUAAAUUUCUCUUUUUUAAGACCUUUAAAAUUUCAGUCAAAAUAAUUCAGUUGGACAUUUUCUACUGGAAGCUGUUGUGCUGUUAAAAACUAAGGCACCUCACAGCAAUUUAUCACUGGCAAAAGCAUCCCUAAUAAGCAGAAUGAGUCUGUGUGUUUUUCCCAUUUCAUUUUCCUGCUUUGUUCAGUUCAAUUUGCUUGACUUUUUCAGUGGCAUUAAAAUAUUAUUUCAAGCUGCACUGACAUGAUGUGUGCUAUAGGUAAUA
Columba livia (rock pigeon) is the source of this 12048-nucleotide long non-coding RNA. RefSeq lists it as uncharacterized. The record is from RefSeq and is a predicted model, not a curated record. Lineage: Eukaryota; Metazoa; Chordata; Aves; Columbiformes; Columbidae. The transcript has 6 exons.